AAGGAAUUACUGGGGAAGUUGGUGGUAGAGGGAGGCUAUUGACAUGUCACAGCAAGAUGCUCAAAAAUGUAGAGCACAUGGAGAAGAUUGCCAUGCUGGCUUUCCAUCCAGUUAAGAUGCACAGCUGCUAUGAGAAGGUGGUGAACCUGAGCCUUGAGGGUCUUGCAGCAACAGUUUGACGUGAGCAGCCCGUCAGUGUUUGUCCAAAGGGCCCAGAUCCCCAUGAGAGAGAUGUUUGAGCAGAUCCUUCAUCAGAGUCUCGAGUCUCAGGGUACAGAGGAGCUGUGUAAGAUCAUCCAGCACUGCCAGGACAGAGUCAUUAAGCACAUGGAGAAGAUUGCCAUGCUGGCUUUCCAUCCAGUUAAGAUGCACAGCUGCUAUGAGAAGGUGGUGAACCUGAGCCUUGAGGGUCUUGCAGCAACAGUUUGACGUGAGCAGCCCGUCAGUGUUUGUCCAAAGGGCCCAGAUCCCCAUGAGAGAGAUGUUUGAGCAGAUCCUUCAUCAGAGUCUCGAGUCUCAGGGUACAGAGGAGCUGUGUAAGAUCAUCCAGCACUGCCAGGACAGAGUCAUUAAGGUAAUACACAAAGAAAACAGGCUUGUGCAUCAAAUUCUUGCAUAACAUCUACAUUAAUAUCUAAUAAUAUUACAUCUGGCAUACUCCAGCCCUGGGAGUGAAACUUUUGGUCUGGCCUUGUUUUAGUGUUAAUGAAAAUUCAGGUUCACCUUUAUCAAUUUAUUAAUUUUUUAACAAAGAGUCCAGGAUACCGGGCAAUAUCCCAGCUUAAUCCCUUCUGUGCAUGGUCCUCUGAUAUUUUCAAGCCUCAACUUGCC
Molecule: long non-coding RNA, 831 nt
Organism: Solea solea (common sole)
Lineage: Eukaryota; Metazoa; Chordata; Actinopteri; Pleuronectiformes; Soleidae
Exons: 5
Source: RefSeq, a predicted model, not a curated record